AGAGCUUUAUCCUGGCUCAGGAUGAACGCUGGCGGCGUGCCUAACACAUGCAAGUCGAACGGGAGCGCGCAGGGGACGAGAUUUCGGUCGAGUCGCUCGCGCUUUAGUGGCGGACGGGUGAGUAACGCGUGGAUAACCUGCCUUACACAGGGGGAUAACGCUUAGAAAUAGGCGCUAAUACCGCAUAAGCGCACAGCCUCGCAUGAGGGAGUGUGAAAAGCCACAGCGGUGUAAGAUGGAUCCGCGUCUGAUUAGCCAGUUGGCGGGGUGACGGCCCACCAAAGCGACGAUCAGUAGCCGGCCUGAGAGGGUGGACGGCCACAUUGGGACUGAGACACGGCCCAGACUCCUGCGGGAGGCAGCAGUAGGGGAUUUUCGUCAAUGGGCGCAAGCCUGAACGAGCGAUGCCGCGUGAGUGAAGAAGGCCUUCGGGUCGUAAAGCUCUGUUGCGGGGGAAAAAAGGCAGCAUCAGGAAAUGGGUGCUGACUGAUGGUGCCCCGCCAGAAAGUCACGGCUAACUACGUGCCAGCAGCCGCGGUAAUACGUAGGUGGCGAGCGUUAUCCGGAAUGAUUGGGCGUAAAGGGUGCGCAGGCGGUCCUGCAAGUCUGGAGUGAAACGCAUGAGCUCAACUCAUGCAUGGCUUUGGAAACUGGAGGACUGGAGAGCAGGAGAGGGCGGUGGAACUCCAUGUGUAGCGGUAAAAUGCGUAGAUAUAUGGAAGAACACCAGUGGCGAAGGCGGCCGCCUGGCCUGUUGCUGACGCUGAGGCACGAAAGCGUGGGGAGCAAACAGGAUUAGAUACCCUGGUAGUCCACGCCGUAAACGAUGAUUACUAGGUGUCGGGGAGCAGAGACUGCUCGGUGCCGCAGCCAACGCAUUAAGUAAUCCACCUGGGGAGUACGUCCGCAAGGAUGAAACUCAAAGGAAUUGACGGGGACCCGCACAAGCGGUGGAGCAUGUGGUUUAAUUCGAAGCAACGCGAAGAACCUUACCUGGCCUUGACAUCCCGGUGACAGCGGAGUAAUGUCCGUUUUCCUUCGGGACACUGGAGACAGGUGGUGCAUGGUUGUCGUCAGCUCGUGUCGUGAGAUGUUGGGUUAAGUCCCGCAACGAGCGCAACCCUUACCUUCAGUAGCCAGCAUAUCAGAUGGGCACUCUGGAGGGACUGCCAGGGACAACCUGGAGGAAGGUGGGGAUGACGUCAAGUCAUCAUGCCCCUUAUGGCCAGGGCUACACACGUGCUACAAUGGCGUAAACAAAGAGAAGCGACCACGUGAGUGUGAGCGAAUCUCAAAAAUAACGUCUCAGUUCGGAUUGUAGUCUGCAACUCGACUACAUGAAGCUGGAAUCGCUAGUAAUCGCGGAUCAGAAUGCCGCGGUGAAUACGUUCCCGGGUCUUGUACACACCGCCCGUCA
RNAcentral lists this ribosomal RNA (1417 nucleotides) under uncultured bacterium. Its description in RNAcentral is "partial 16S ribosomal RNA". It matches the Rfam family "Bacterial small subunit ribosomal RNA". The record is from RNAcentral.